AACGAACGCUGGCGGCAUGCCUAACACAUGCAAGUCGAACGAGACCUUCGGGUCUAGUGGCGCACGGGUGCGUAACGCGUGGGAACCUGCCCUUAGGUUCGGAAUAACUCCCCGAAAGGGGUGCUAAUACCGGAUAAUGUCUUCGGACCAAAGAUUUAUCGCCUUUGGAUGGGCCGCGGUGGAUUAGCUAGUUGGUAGGGUAAAAGCCUACCAAGGCGACGAUCCAUAGCUGGUCUGAGAGGAUGAUCAGCCACACUGGGACUGAGACACGGCCCAGACUCCUACGGGAGGCAGCAGUGGGGAAUAUUGGACAAUGGGCGAAAGCCUGAUCCAGCAAUGCCGCGUGAGUGAUGAAGGCCUUAGGGUUGUAAAGCUCUUUUACCCGGGAUGAUAAUGACAGUACCGGGAGAAUAAGCUCCGGCUAACUCCGUG
This 432-nucleotide ribosomal RNA is filed under the name uncultured bacterium. RNAcentral's name for it is "partial 16S ribosomal RNA". It matches the Rfam family "Bacterial small subunit ribosomal RNA", at positions 29 to 507 of the family's 1533-position model. The record is from RNAcentral.